Molecule: ribosomal RNA, 255 nt
Filed under: uncultured Gardnerella sp.
Lineage: Bacteria; Bacillati; Actinomycetota; Actinomycetes; Bifidobacteriales; Bifidobacteriaceae
Description: partial 16S ribosomal RNA
Rfam family: Bacterial small subunit ribosomal RNA
Source: RNAcentral
CGAACGGGUGAGUAAUGCGUGACCAACCUGCCCCAUGCUCCAGAAUAGCUCUUGGAAACGGGUGGUAAUGCUGGAUGCUCCAACUUGACGCAUGUCUUGUUGGGAAAGUGUUUAGUGGCAUGGGAUGGGGUCGCGUCCUAUCAGCUUGUAGGCGGGUAAUGGCCCACCUAGGCUUCGACGGGUAGCCGGCCUGAGAGGGCGGACGGCCACAUUGGGACUGAGAUACGGCCCAGACUCCUACGGGAGGCAGCAGCC